UUUGGAAAUCUCUAAAGUCAACAUCGGAAGGGAAAGCACGUAAAGGUAAGGGAUUAUAUUCCGGUACAAUCAUGUAGGUCAUAGGAUCAUAAGGUAUGUUGGUGGUAGAAUCCUUACCUAAUAAGAGAUAAAAACUAUAGAACAUAAAUAAAAUAAUAAUAAUAUAUUGUAACACAUUACUUUGGCGUGUUUAAAUUUUGUAUGGCAUUCCUAAUGGUUUACUUUUAUUUUUCUUUUGAGAAAGUGAUGAUCAGUGAAGGAAAGUUUUAUAUCUUAUUUACUUGUUUAUUUGUUGUUGACAUAGUGAAUGUUCUAAUAUACUUAUUUCAUGAAUUGUGGUGAUAGUUUGAUGGACAUUGUAGAACAAAUUUACCGCUGUACCUGCUACAACUGAUAGAAAAUGUGUUCAUGAUAUUAUUAGAAAAUAGUGAUAAAAAGCAUAGCAUGGCAUAUAGUCGAGUCAUAUGUGCCAAAUGGGGCGAUUUGUUAUGUGCCAAAUGGGGCGAUUUUGUUAUUAUGUGCCAAAUGGGGCGAAUACGCUACUUGGGGCGUUAAAUUCCAAGUGCCAAAUGGGGCGAUUUGUUAUGUGCCAAAUAGGGCGAAUACGCUACUUGGGGCGUUAAAUUCCAAGUGCAAAUGGGGCGAUAUCCGGAUCAUGGUCUAGUUGCAUUUCAUGCAUCAUUUAGUCUAAUUUUUAUUUAUCUUAUUAGCAUUAUUUUUGUGAAUUGCAAGUGUUGUUUUUAUUAUCUUAUUUGUGCUAUUUGGCUUUUACCUUUUAUGUGGUGAGUCUUUGACUAUCUUUCUUAUUUUAUGUUUUUAUGUUCUAUAUGAUUNNNNNNNNNNNNNNNNNNNNNNNNNNNNNNNNNNNNNNNNNNNNNNNCUUGCACUUAACAUAUUAGGUACCAAGGAAGGUGGACUUAACGAUGAUUGAAGCUUGCUUGCGAGAACGGGGGAAAAGAAUUAUGGGUUUUUAAUAAAUAAAUUAUGUUGAAAACAAAUAAUUUGAUAAUCGUAUUUUAUUUUCGAACUGUCUAGUAUGUUUGGAAAUGCGGAGUUUCCGCUAGAACUUUUCCCACA
This 1077-nucleotide long non-coding RNA is filed under the name Trifolium pratense (red clover). Its description in RNAcentral is "long non-coding RNA (TPRA_LNC008123)". The record is from RNAcentral. Lineage: Eukaryota; Viridiplantae; Streptophyta; Magnoliopsida; Fabales; Fabaceae.